GAAUUUUGGGCAAUGGGCGAAAGCCUGACCCAGCAACGCCGCGUGAAGGAUGUAAUCCCUCGGGAUGUAAACUUCAUAAGAACGGGAAGAAUAAGUCGGUGCCAACACCACCGGCGAUGACGGUACCGUUAGUAAGCUCCGGCUAACUCCGUGCCAGCAGCCGCGGUAAUACGGGGGGAGCAAGCGUUGUUCGGAGUUACGGGGCGUAAAGGGCGCGUAGGCGGCCACCGCAAGUCGACUGUGAAAUCUCCGGGCUUAACCCGGAAAGGUCAGCCGAUACUGCGGGGCUAGAGUGCAGAAGGGGCAACUGGAAUUCUCGGUGUAGCGGUGAAAUGCGUAGAUAUCGAGAGGAACACCUGCGGCGAAGGCGGGUUGCUGGGCUGACACUGACGCUGAGGCGCGAAAGCUAGGGGAGCGAACGGG
This 423-nucleotide ribosomal RNA is filed under the name uncultured bacterium. Its description in RNAcentral is "bacterial SSU rRNA". It matches the Rfam family "Bacterial small subunit ribosomal RNA", at positions 359 to 776 of the family's 1533-position model. The record is from RNAcentral.